GGCGAGCAGGGGAUUCAUCGGAGCUCGCGAUCGCUGCUCUGCCGCUCCUGCCGAUACCAAUGUGGAUGAGGAAGGGCCUCUGCGGACGGGAGAAAGCGGAGCUGCGCCGCCACAGAGGAGAGGGAGGCGUGUCACACCGUCCAAGAGAGUGAAGAAUCGAUGUCGCUGAAAGGGAUGACGGCCGCGACACCGCGAAAGAGGGACCCAUUAGAAGAGCAGUGCCUCUGCCGUCCCGAUGAACUGCAGUGCCUCUGCCGUCCCAAUGAACUCGGUACCGCUCGAUUCCAGGUCAUCGAGGCUGGUGAGAAGAGAUGAAGGAGCAGCAGGACCAGAGCUCAGGGUGCGGCCGCAUCAUGGUGAGAUGAGCAAGGGGGGAAUGGAGUAGGCCAUGGAGCAGCUCGGUGUGGAAUACAGAGAGAAUUUCUUGCAAUGUGGUGUGAGAGUAAUUUUCUUGCUGCUGUUACAGAAGGUUUGGAGGCAAAGAGAUUUUAGCUCGUGCUCUGAAAUUUUUGUUGCCUGCUGCUUUUCUAUCCGCUAAUGCUCCUUUGCUAUCUAUCUGCUGAUAUUGUUGCUCGGUUAUUUUCACUAAGACAGUGUGAGAGAAAUCGAGAGAUAGAAAGAUUGCUAGCUGCUGCUAUGAUUCUUUUACGAUCUUGUUGAUUGCUAGCUGCUGCUAAUAAGGCUACUUCUAGGAUGGAUGAUUGUGCUUUCGUCGAGUUCCUGUUGUGUUGUAUCGAGAUUAUGUUGUACUAUCAAAUGUUUGUGUUUGACAGAGAGUGGGAGAGAGAGAUAUGUAUGGUAAUUAUAGAAAACCAACAUAUUAUAUAUGUUACUAGGACAUAGAGAGUGAGAUUUGCCGCUUCUGUCGGAAUGUAAGCUAAUCCAAAUAUAUUUUUAUUU
Lolium rigidum is the source of this 900-nucleotide long non-coding RNA. RefSeq lists it as uncharacterized. NCBI's taxonomy places the organism in Eukaryota, Viridiplantae, Streptophyta, Magnoliopsida, Poales, Poaceae. The record is from RefSeq and is a predicted model, not a curated record. The transcript has 2 exons.